AUAGAUGUUGUAAUUUUACCAAUUUCGAAACUUUUGGACAGACUAAGAGAGAAAAUGCUGAAGUUGGUUUGUUUAUCAUGCUCAUGUUGUCAAUGACAAUUUGUACAAGAAGCCAUGUUGUUGCAGGACUCGCAUUGAUCUCUACAACGAAAGAUCCCGUGAAGGAAUGAAAAUUAGAGCACCACAUGUUGGUUAGGAUAUGAAGUAGAGUUGAUGAUGUUAACAACUUGGAGCUAAUGUUAUUGUUGAAGGUUGUUGGGUUUUGGUGAAUGUGUAAACUUUUACUUUUGGCC
RNAcentral lists this long non-coding RNA (293 nucleotides) under Rosa chinensis. Its description in RNAcentral is "sRNA RchiOBHm_Chr3g0458581". The record is from RNAcentral. Lineage: Eukaryota; Viridiplantae; Streptophyta; Magnoliopsida; Rosales; Rosaceae.